Molecule: ribosomal RNA, 491 nt
Filed under: uncultured bacterium
Lineage: Bacteria
Description: bacterial SSU rRNA
Rfam family: Bacterial small subunit ribosomal RNA
Source: RNAcentral
GACGAACGCUGGCGGCGUGCCUAAGACAUGCAAGUCGAACGGACCUUGCAUUCUCAGCGGCUUCGGCCAAAGAGGAUGCGCUGGUUAGUGGCGGACGGGUGAGUAACGCGUGAGUAACCUGCCUUUCAGAGGGGGACAACAGCUGGAAACGGCUGCUAAUACCGCAUGAUACACAGAAGAGGCAUCUCUUUUGUGUCAAAGAUUUAUCGCUGAAAGAUGGACUCGCGUCUGAUUAGCUAGUUGGUGAGGUAACGGCCCACCAAGGCAACGAUCAGUAGCCGGACUGAGAGGUUGAACGGCCACAUUGGGACUGAGAUACGGCCCAGACUCCUACGGGAGGCAGCAGUCGGGAAUAUUGCACAAUGGGCGCAAGCCUGAUGCAGCAACGCCGCGUGAAGGAAGAAGGCUUUCGGGUUGUAAACUUCUUUGACAGGGGACGAAAAAAAUGACGGUACCCUGAAAACAAGCCACGGCUAACUACGUGCCAGCCG